Long non-coding RNA from Myotis daubentonii (Daubenton's bat), 4986 nucleotides. RefSeq lists it as uncharacterized. The record is from RefSeq and is a predicted model, not a curated record. NCBI's taxonomy places the organism in Eukaryota, Metazoa, Chordata, Mammalia, Chiroptera, Vespertilionidae.
AAUUUUUUAAAAAAAUCUGAAAACCAGGCUGCACCAAUAUAAACUAAGGAGUGACUUUGGUUGUCUGGAUGGUCUAUGAAACGGGACAUUUCUUUGUGGUUGAAAAGCUAAAGAAUAAUCAGAAUGUAAUACCAGAAAGGCCAGUACAAGGAGAGUCCAGAUGUUUAUACUCAAGAGUGAAAUAUAUGUUCAGGAGGACUCUCGUUUUACACUAGGGUCAAGUACGGACUUAACUACUAGAACUCUAUUUUAAGAAACAUUAUUGAUAUAUAUUCUAUUCAGAUUAAAUUUAAAUAACUAAUGAACUAUAAGAUGUGCUUGAAUACAUCUUACAAUUUGGAACUAGUUAAAAAUUUGAAAUAAAAAAGGGGAAGCCCAUCAAGAUUGAUGAUUCUGUGCCGAUUCUGUGUCUUUGGAGACAGAAAACUAAGGCCUCACAGGCUGGGGAGAGUUAUUUUUAUAUAAAGCAUUCUGAAUGGACAAAUGCUAUCUUAUUGAAGUCCAGUUAAUAAAUUCAGACUUUAUCAGCAUUAAUUAUUCAUUUAAAAAUACCCCAGGGGUCAAGAGAACAUAUUAGGGACAGCUGCCCAACACAACAGCACUGAUUAUAAUUGUAUUUAUUGAGGGCUUAUGGUAUAACGUGCAAUGUAUUUUAAAUGCAUUGUUUCAAGUGACCUCACGGAAAUUGUAUGGACUAAGUUUUACUAUUCCCAUUUACCCACUGAGGAAACGGAAGCUUACAGAAAUUCUUUAAUAGUCUCAAAGGAUAAGGAGAGAGUAAAUAGUAAAAUCAGAAUUAAGAUUAAGAUGGUUAGAUUUCAAAGCUCAUAAAAAAAUAUGUUUAGCACUGAUUGAUCUUUCAUGGAUAAAUUCAUUAAUUUCAUGGUUCAAAGCCCAUUGUGUGCCCAUUAGUGCCUGAACCACCAAGUCUGUUCAGAACAGAUUCAUUAUCACAGAUUAGAAUAAAGAAUCAGAUUUAUCUAUUCACCUCAGCAAAAUUAAUUUGAGGCACUUAGAAUACAAAAUACUAUGGUUCCCGGAACAGUCCUCAGCAGUACUGAAUGCUGCAUGAGUGUUAGAGAUGGGAAAAGAGAGGAACAUUCUUGGAUGCUGUGAUUGUACUACAGGGAAGAUGAUGCUGAAAGAUAUGUUCAGAUUGGACACUCUCUCCAAUGCCCUCAGUAUUUCAUCUUGUACCUCCCUUCCCUUGGGAUUGCAAGUCCUUUUCACAUCUAAUCUCCUUACAUCUCUCUGAAGUUCUCCUUCUCCUUAUCUACUUUCUCCUAAAAAAAGCAAAUUUGCCUCUCCACUUCGUGCUUAUUUACUCUGUCUUUGCAAAAGAUCAAAGCAAAUCACGCCUUCACAGUGAACAAAUUUUCAUUAGUUUACACAGCAAAUUUUGUGGCACAGAGCACUUUCCCUGUGUCUGCCCAGCAAAAGUGCUUAUUUCCUUACAAUGUGCAUUUCCACAAUUAAAUCUUUCAUUAAAUUGAGUCAAUGAUUUUUCAUUCAUCCCUUAUAUUGGGAGACGGAAAUGUUUUUUUUUUUUAAGAUUUAGCAUCUGCCUUCAAAGAGUUUAUAAUAUGUUGAAUCCAGCAGAACGACUCCAGUAAAUCAACAAUAAGAAAACACCAAAAGUUCAAGAAGAGGCGUGCAGACAAAAUACUAAGAUGGCUCAGAAGAUGAACGAAACAUAACCAGCCUCUUGUCCUACACACCCACUCAUGCUGAGUAAAUGGCUUGGCAGGAGGAACCCCAGCAUCUAUCGCAGUGCAGAGAUCAAAGCCAACACCACACCUAAGCCAAAGGUCUUUAAGAAAAAACAGACUUAGUGAUUUACCUGCUUUAUUUUGAGGUAAUAGCUGGAGAGUGAAUUCUGGUAUAACUUCCAAAAUGUAGGAUUUGAUAUUUCUGUCACAAGAAAGAUAUACUGCCAACAGCUUUUAAAUAGCCUUUCUCUUAGAUGAAAAGAAGAUGAAAGUUUGCAUUCUUAAAAUUUCCCAAUAAUGAACAAGUAUUGAGAAAUUCAAGAUAGGGGAGUAAUGUAUACCAGAGAAAUUAUCUUGCAGGAAGUUGGGCCUGUGAAUUAGCAGGUGCCUAGCUGAUUUGCUAAGAAACCUUUUAGGCAGUAGGACAAAUUCAUGCCUGCAGGUCAUGUGCUUGGGAUUUUGUAGCAUUUCUUUGGAUUUGGUAUCAUAGACAAAGGCAUAUAUCAAAUGGGGAAAAACCAAAGAAAACAAUUUAUUUGAAAGAAGUGCAGCACUGAUGUUUGCCUUACACCUCCAAUAAUUGCCUGCCAAUACAUUUUAGAGACCAUCUAUUUGAAAUAUCAUAUUUGCUUGGAUUGUACUUAUAUCUAAAUUUUUUUUUUUUACUGUGAAUCUUCAUUUCACUCAGAAUAACAACAGCCCUCAAUGUGAUGCUACAAUGGCUUUGAAUAUAAUAACAGCCUUGAAUUUGAAUAUAAGGCAUUUUAAGCAUGAGCCCACCAUUUGGAUACUCCACAGUUUCACAGAGGAAGGACACAAAUCUGUCAUUUAGGUGUGGCUUUGAAUAAUCUUCGUUUUGUCAAAGCCACUCAUUCUGCUAUAGUGAGCCUGAAUGGAUAGGGCCAAAGACAUUACUGUCCCUAAAAGAAAUGUCACUUUCUCCCAGUGUGGUGCUACGGAGUCACACUGAGAUAAUGGUUUAGCACUGAUUCUGCAGCUGCCUCUGGGAUUAGUUCCUGUGAGUCUGCCUAUAGAUGCAACACCAUGCAGCCCAUACAUCUUAAAUGUGGGAAUGAAAUAGAAUAGAUUGCUGUAUAAUUUUUUUAGAUCUAAAUAAUAUAUGCUAACACUGAAUCCACAGUCACUUUAAAAUAAAAGAUCUCCCCUGAAUAUAAUUCAUAAUGAAUACCAGAACACUAUUCUUCUUUGUAUGAGCUGCCAAGGAAAUAGAGACUGGGGGAACAAAAAAAAUGAAUAAUUAACUGUUUCCAUAUUUCUUUAAAAUUGGAUAAAGGAGAUUGACUUUGAGGAUUGAAUCUAACCCACUUGGUGCAUAACUCGUGCUUAGCAUCUCCCGAGUAUGUAAUUGAUACCUUAUUUAACACAUUUUACUGGGAAUUACCAAGACCACCUACUAGUAAAUUACCACAUUUUUAAUAUAUUUUUCCUUUUUAUAUUUUGAAAGCAGACUUUGAAAAAAAGCAAGGUAACUGACUAUAGGUUCAUGUAUAAUUUUUUGCUUUGAAACGGUUACUACUGCUUCCAGGGGCAGUUUCUUUAGGAAAAAUAUCACAGUAUUAAAUUAAAGAAGCAGUUUAAAGGGUUACUAGCCACAUUAUCUAACAUGAUAUUUCUGCCCCUUCUCAAUAAUUCCAAAUCUUUUCUGCCUUGGUUGUCCCCAGUGAGGCAGGGUGGGAACAGCUUCUCUGCUUGCUCCUCCUGCAUUUGGUGAGGAACUAGUUUGUCAUUUGUCCUGUAUGACAUGAUUACAGAGGUGCUGGAAGUAUCUACCCAUCUGUCAUUUGUAUCUGAUUCCAUCAACCAUUACUGGGCAUUACCCCUACCCUAAAUCCAGCCCUUUCCUGUAAAGAAAUUUCCAACUAAUGUAGAAAAAGCCUCUAAGCCAGUGGUUCUCAACCUUCCUAAUGCCGCGACCCUUUAAUACAGUUCCUCAUGUUGUGGUGACCCCCAAUUUCAUUGUUACAAAUUGAACAUAAUAAAAGCAUAGUGAUUAAUCACAAAAACAAUAUGUAAUUAUAUAUGUGUUUUCCGAUGGUCUUAGGCGACCCCUGUGAAAGGGUUGUUCAACCCCCAAAAGGGUCACCAACCACAGGUUGAGAACUGCUGCUCUAAUAGUUGUGUACUCAUUCAGCACAUAUUGAUAAUCAAGAGGGUGAAGAGAGGUACUCAGAGUUCAGAGAUCAUCAUCUCUUUGAAGAGUGGAAUAGGUAAGACAACAUAGCUUGCCAAGCAGGAGUAUUAUGAAUUGGAUUAUGUCCCUCUGCUGGGGUCUUUUCCACAUCUACAAGGGUUCAGGAAUCUGGAGAAGGGCUGUGCAAAAAUGAAUGAGAGAGACUAGACAAGAAAUAGUUUGGAAGGCAUUUUGGGGAGUCAGACAGCUACUUAGUUCUAGUGACUAAGUACUCCUCUCCCAAUCUCCUGGCCCCUGGUUUUUUAUUCCCACAUUUUGCCCUAUGGCAAAGCAGAUAUACAUACCAAAGGUAAGGUUUGGUAAACAAUAAAGUAUUAUCAGGUUGGGGGAACUGCCCUCAGCUGGCAGCAGGCAAUAAUAUACGCAGAUCUUCCGCCUUGCCGAAGCCCCAGGGUUCAUCAGCCAUCUGAUGAACUUCAUGCAUAAUUAUAACCUGCUGGAAUUUGCUUCCAGCAUCCCUCCUAGAAAAGUAUGUUGAAGUCCAAAUCUCCCCGUACCUCAGAAUGUGACCUUGUUUGGAAAUGGAGUCCUUACAGAGAUAACCAAGUUACAAUGAAAGCAUGAGGGUGAGCCUGAAUGCAAUAUGACUGGUGUCCUAUGAGACGGAGAAAUUUAGCACUGAGACUGGCAUGUGCAGAGGGAAGAGAUGGGAAGACAAAAGGAGGCGGCCUGUGAAGAUGGAUGUGGAGAUUGGAGUUCCAUGCUAAGCCAGGGAGCAGGAAGGAUUGGUGGGCACCCCCGAAGGCUAGGGGCGGGGAAGGCAGGAUUCUCCCCUGUAGGCUUCCAGGGGCUCACACACCUGCUGACGCCUUGAUUUAGAUUUCUUGUCACCAGGACUGUGGUACAGUGCAUUUCUGUUAUUUUAAGCAUCCAUGUUGUUGGUGCUUGGUGACAGCAGCCCUAGAAAACUAACACAAUGAGGGGAAAUUGUUAGACAUGAAAUAAAAGGGUAGGAUUCUGAAAAGUAAAGUAUUUCUCAGAUGACUAAUUAUUAAAAUAGGUUUUAUUAUUGUCCAUCAGUGUAUUACUGCCUUACUACAGAUACUUUAGAAAGUAAAGUUAAAA